Molecule: ribosomal RNA, 253 nt
Filed under: uncultured bacterium
Lineage: Bacteria
Description: partial 16S ribosomal RNA
Rfam family: Bacterial small subunit ribosomal RNA
Source: RNAcentral
CACGUAGGGUGCAAGCGUUAAUCGGAAUUACUGGGCGUAAAGCGUGCGCAGGCGGCUUUGCAAGACAGAUGUGAAAUCCCCGGGCUCAACCUGGGAACUGCAUUUGUGACUGCAUGGCUAGAGUACGGUAGAGGGGGAUGGAAUUCCGCGUGUAGCAGUGAAAUGCGUAGAUAUGCGGAGGAACACCGAUGGCGAAGGCAAUCCCCUGGACCUGUACUGACGCUCAUGCACGAAAGCGUGGGGAGCAAACAGG